RNAcentral lists this ribosomal RNA (506 nucleotides) under uncultured bacterium. RNAcentral's name for it is "partial 16S ribosomal RNA". It matches the Rfam family "Bacterial small subunit ribosomal RNA", at positions 28 to 523 of the family's 1533-position model. The record is from RNAcentral.
GAUGAACGCUAGCUACAGGCUUAACACAUGCAAGUCGAGGGGUAACGAGAGGAAGGCUUGCUUUCCUUGUCGACGACCGGCGCACGGGUGAGUAACGCGUAUCCAACCUGCCCCCAACUAGGGAAUAACCUUGCGAAAGUAAGACUAAUACCCUAUAAUUUCCUCAGAUGUCAUCUGACGAGGAAUAAAGAUUUAUCGGUUGUGGAUGGGGAUGCGUCUGAUUAGCUUGUUGGCGGGGUAACGGCCCACCAAGGCAACGAUCAGUAGGGGUUCUGAGAGGAAGGUCCCCCACAUUGGAACUGAGACACGGUCCAAACUCCUACGGGAGGCAGCAGUGAGGAAUAUUGGUCAAUGGGCGGAAGCCUGAACCAGCCAAGUAGCGUGCAGGAUGACGGCCCUAUGGGUUGUAAACUGCUUUUAUACAGGAAUAAAGUUAGCCACGUGUGGUUAUUUGUAGGUACUGUAUGAAUAAGGACCGGCUAAUUCCGUGCCAGCCGCCGCCGUAA